RNAcentral lists this long non-coding RNA (1017 nucleotides) under Capra hircus (goat). RNAcentral describes it as "lncRNA (ENSCHIG00010014069.1)". Lineage: Eukaryota; Metazoa; Chordata; Mammalia; Artiodactyla; Bovidae. The record is from RNAcentral.
AUGACCGCGCCGCUUCUAACCCGACAGCGGAAGUGCCGGGACCCUAUAAACGGCACAAGGAAGCGCGACACGCACACGCCGCCGCGACGCCACGCUGCCAUCUAGGGCCCGCCGCUCCUUGUACGGGCACAAGAGGUGGGGCCUUCGCCGUGACGUCGCGGCCGAGGCGGGGCACCGAUAGGGGGACCUAGGGCCAAGGGCGGGGCCUAUGCAAAUCGCUGAGCUGAAACAUAAAUAGAGCACUCCGCGGACACGGGGGUAGCGGGGGCGGUGGGGUUGGGUGCCCGAUGGGCUGUGAGAAUGUCAGGCUGCUGUGACGCGGGGGGCGGGGCUCAGGCGGGGUUCCCGGGGGAGGGGGCGGGCUGCCAGGCAUGGCCUAGGGUGCAUGGGUCUCCGCGCCCCCUGCCUGCUCAACUUCCCCCUCCAAUUCCCUGCUUCCCUUUGAUGUCCCGCAAGUGAGGACGCGCCUCGUGGGUCGCUGCGGGGAGGAAAGAGUAGAUGGGAGACCAAGGCGGAGAAGAGCACCAGCUCCGCUGCUCCUCUUGUCUGCAGCACGCUCAACCCCGAGCGAGUCUCAGCUUCCGCUCAGUCUCGGCUUCCAAGCUUGCCAAAGUGUCCGAAAACGCGCAGAGCGCUCGGAACCUGUCCCGCAGCUGUGCGACGCGCGUCUCGAGCUGGCCGCAGCCGCCCCGCCCUCGCGCGCCUCAGCCCCGCGGGCGGGGAUGCCGGCUCCACGGCCUCUCUACCGGGACCCCGCUCCAGGCCCGGGCGUGCUCCGGCUCGAGGUGGAAGGCACACCCGGGUAGUGGAUUUAGCAAACACACCUUUAAACAGAUCCAGGAGGCCAGAAAAACUUACCACCCACACAGACUCUUCAUAAUCAAGUCGUUGGAUGAAGACAGGGCACUGACCCCCUCCUACAGAACCAGACCUCUGGGGUUACAAUUCAUCUGCAUGAUUCACUCCAAUCUGCCCUUCAGUCCAAUCAUCUUUUUGGUUUUCAGAGAUAAGUCAUGA